CUCCUCUCAAGGUUGUACCUGGAGAGUUUCCAGUACUCUACCAGUCUCAGCUACAGGAGGGAGAGCCAAGCAGAGGCCUACUCAUUCCAUUCCUAGCUUGGGCUAGCUAGUGGAAGGCAAUCUGCUACAAGU
Small nucleolar RNA from Tachyglossus aculeatus (Australian echidna), 132 nucleotides. The record is from RefSeq and is a predicted model, not a curated record. Lineage: Eukaryota; Metazoa; Chordata; Mammalia; Monotremata; Tachyglossidae.